This 485-nucleotide ribosomal RNA is filed under the name uncultured bacterium. RNAcentral describes it as "bacterial SSU rRNA". It matches the Rfam family "Bacterial small subunit ribosomal RNA", at positions 28 to 508 of the family's 1533-position model. The record is from RNAcentral.
GAUGAACGCUAGCGGCAGGCUUAAUACAUGCAAGUCGAGGGGCAGCAUAGGUAGCAAUACUUGAUGGCGACCGGCAAACGGGUGCGGAACACGUACAGAACCUUCCUUCGAGCGGGGAAUAGCCCGGAGAAAUCCGGAUUAAUACCCCAUAGUAAAUUGAAAAGGCAUCUUUUUGAUUUUAAAGAUUUAUCACUUGAAGAUGGCUGUGCGCCUGAUUAGGUAGUUGGUGGGGUAAUGGCCCACCAAGCCUACGAUCAGUAACUGGCGUGAGAGCGCGACCAGUCACACGGGCACUGAGACACGGGCCCGACUCCUACGGGAGGCAGCAGUAAGGAAUAUUGGUCAAUGGACGCAAGUCUGAACCAGCCAUGCCGCGUGGAGGAUGAAGGUCCUCUGGAUUGUAAACUUCUUUUAUUUGGGAAGAAACCCACGUUUUCUAAUGUGGUUGACGGUACCAGAUGAAUAAGCACCGGCUAACUCCGUGC